RNAcentral lists this long non-coding RNA (222 nucleotides) under Trifolium pratense (red clover). RNAcentral describes it as "long non-coding RNA (TPRA_LNC006192)". The record is from RNAcentral. Lineage: Eukaryota; Viridiplantae; Streptophyta; Magnoliopsida; Fabales; Fabaceae.
UGUUAUGUUACACUUACACCCUGUUGUUCACCUUAUGAAUUAUUCAAUACGACUUAGAUGCAUGCAAACCUCCACAACUACAUAGACGUAAAAAAGCUUCAUAGCAUAAUAACUGCUUUAAAAUUAUCAAAAUUGUCCUAAGAAGUUUGGAUUUUGAAUCAUGAUCCGUAGAAUGUUCUCUCCUUUGAUCUUACGCAGAUUCAUCACAAUUCUUUAAUGCUC